Molecule: ribosomal RNA, 599 nt
Filed under: uncultured bacterium
Lineage: Bacteria
Description: bacterial SSU rRNA
Rfam family: Bacterial small subunit ribosomal RNA
Source: RNAcentral
UCGCCCUUAGAGUUUGAUCCUGGCUCAAGACGAACGCUGGCGGCGCGCCUAACACAUGCAAGUCGAACGAGCGAGAGAGAGCUUGCUUUCUCGAGCGAGUGGCGAACGGGUGAGUAACGCGUGAGGAACCUGCCUCAGAGAGGGGGACAACAGUUGGAAACGACUGCUAAUACCGCAUACGCCCACGGUGCCGCAUGGCACAGAAGGAAAAGGAGCAAUCCGCUUUGAGAUGGCCUCGCGUCCAAUUACCUAGUUGGGGAGGUAACGGCCCACCAAGGCGACGAUCGGUAGCCGGACUGAGAGGUUGAACGGCCACGUUGGGACUGACACACGGCCCAUACUCCUACGGGAGGCAGCAGUGGGGAAUAUUGCACGAUGAGGGAAACCCUGAUGCAGCCACGCCGCGUGGAGGAAGAAGGUCUUCAGAUUGUAAACUCCUGUUGGUGGGGAACAUAAUGACGGUACCCAACAGGGAGGUGACGGCUAACUACCUGCCAGCAGCCGCGGUAAAACGUAGGUCACAAGCGUUGUCCGGAAUUACUGGGUGUAAAGGGAGCGCAGGCGGGAAGACAAGUUGGAAGUGAAAUCUAUGGGCUCAA